CCACCGGUUUCCCUAAGUGAGCCUAGGAUAUGGGAAGUUGUCGCUUGCCACUCAAGCUCCAGAUGUUGCUUGGAAUAAAGAUGGAUAGACCCAUUCAGCUCCAUCAUUCAGGAGUAAAGAGUGAGAUGCAUCCCCAAGCAUCUCUGGACAUCUGGACAAGAAAGGACAUGUGACUGAAGAAGCUGACACUUCAAAACAAGUACAAAGCAUUGUCGAACUGGACUUGGCUUAUAGCCCAGUGGUGUACACAGUGAUUCUCCAAGUUCAGUGAAUGAAAUAUUGUGCUAAAUAAUCAAUAUUCAUAUCUAAUGGAAAAACAGUAAAUAUGAACUUCAUGUAUUUUCAAUAGUUCUAAAAACAUUUAUACUUACGUGAAAGGAAGUGCAUUGAGAAUUAUUGUAAAUUUACAUAAGGUAUUGUAAAUUUUGGGAAACGUGAAUAUUCUGUUUUGUCUUAAUUUAUUCAGAGAAGAGCAUCAGUAAAAUCAAAACUAAGAAGGUACUACAAUUCAGCUAUAAACUUGAUAUGGCCUGUUUACAGACCAUAAUUUAUUUUAUGGCAUCAGCAAAGAAAUGUUUUGAUCCUUUUAACUGAUUACAUGAGGCAAAACCAGCUGGGAUUUAAGAUAUCACAAAUUUAUCAAAGCUGAUAGAUUUAUAUAAGCCUGCAUUAAAUCUGAACAUAUAUUAAAUAUAAACUCCAAAUUAUCAUAUCAUCAAAUCAAUGAAUUACAGUUCUGGAUGUGGCUGGCAAAACUAUUACACAUAAUGUAGACUAUAAUGUACACAUGCCCUCUUAAUACUGAUAAGAGGGAAUUUCUGGCAACAUAUGAUUUUUGGUAUUGAUUAUAUUCUGGCUAAGAAAUGGUUGAAUAUAUUAAAAGCCAUGGAAUUUUUUUUUUAAAUCUUCAUUUUAUUUCAGCCACAAGAUUUUAACCAAUAAUAGAAGAAGAAUGUUGGUUUACAAGA
Non-coding RNA from Meleagris gallopavo (turkey), 968 nucleotides. NCBI's taxonomy places the organism in Eukaryota, Metazoa, Chordata, Aves, Galliformes, Phasianidae. The record is from RefSeq and is a predicted model, not a curated record.